Molecule: unclassified non-coding RNA, 521 nt
Filed under: Hevea brasiliensis (rubber tree)
Lineage: Eukaryota; Viridiplantae; Streptophyta; Magnoliopsida; Malpighiales; Euphorbiaceae
Source: RNAcentral
GUUUUUUUUGUAAUUAAAAUAAUUUGAGAUGUUUUUCUUAUAUGUCUAGCAUUUGGGUCCAAAUGUUGCAAAUUCUAGUAUUUGAAGAUGAUUCAAUGUUAAGUUAUAUUUUUGAACCGCUAGUGGUUAAGCAUUGUACUUCUAAAAAAUGAUUUACCAAACACCUUAAAUCCGUUGUGACUUCAACCACGCUGGUCCCAGCAGCUGAAUCAAAUGGGGCCUUAAAUGUUUCGUAUUACCAUAGGAUUUAUCAUGUAACAAAGAGACACAUAAUUCAAGGUUGCUGGAGCACCUAUGAGAACAACAUAACACAUGCAAUGCUGCCCAAGUUUUUUAGCCCAUUCCCAUGACGUGAUAGUAGCUAGCUGUUAAUGCAUAAAAUAACGAACUUCACCGCCUCACGAAGGGUAUUAUGCUAUUUCCUUGUACAAAUCAUAACUUUUAACAAGUCCACUAGCACAUUAGCGUAUACAAAAAAUAUAACCGUUAAAAGGAAAGACCAAGAGCAUACCUGCGUACCA